CAAGCUGCUCUAGCCAUCGCCUCUGUCCAAGAUAUACAAGAUCCCCAAGAACACCUAAAUAGGGAGCUGCCUUCUUCGAAGGAGAAGCAAUCUACAACCAUACUCUCUCAAGGGCAAGAACAAGUACAGCAAGGCUCCACCCUCAAAUCUGACUUGGCUAUUUCAGGUACCAAAAUAUAUUCAGACGCUUCUUGGCAUAAGAAGAAUGUGCCUGGGUAUGGUGGUAAUCCGGCUACUGGCUUCAACUUCAGCAAGGCUCUUUUCUCACUGACAAUCUUUCAUUAGCAAAGAUGGCUGCUUCAAGAGAUAUCAAUAACACCAACAUCAGCUGGAGGUGCAGACAACCAAUUAGCGAGUUCUUUCAAAUCUCCCAUUCUCUUAAUGCUGUUUAUCACAUCUCUAGGAAUACCAAUGGAAUUGCUCACAAUUGUGCUCAUCAGGUUCUCAACUCGAGAGUAGAACCUGUCUUUAGUUGUUCACGUUCCUCUCAUGCCAAUGUACCUUGCCCUUUUCUGCAGUCCCUUCUCAAUUUU
Long non-coding RNA from Triticum dicoccoides, 533 nucleotides. RefSeq lists it as uncharacterized. The record is from RefSeq and is a predicted model, not a curated record. NCBI's taxonomy places the organism in Eukaryota, Viridiplantae, Streptophyta, Magnoliopsida, Poales, Poaceae. The transcript is spliced from 2 exons.